RNAcentral lists this ribosomal RNA (466 nucleotides) under uncultured bacterium. RNAcentral describes it as "partial 16S ribosomal RNA". It matches the Rfam family "Bacterial small subunit ribosomal RNA", at positions 28 to 505 of the family's 1533-position model. The record is from RNAcentral.
GACGGACGCUGGCGGCGUGCUUAACACAUGCAAGUCGAACGGAAAGGCCCUGCUUUUGUGGGGUGCUCGAGUGGCGAACGGGUGAGUAACACGUGAGUAACCUGCCCUUGACUUUGGGAUAACUUCAGGAAACUGGGGCUAAUACCGGAUAGGAGCUCCUGCUGCAUGGUGGGGGUUGGAAAGUUUCGGCGGUUGGGGAUGGACUCGCGGCUUAUCAGCUUGUUGGUGGGGUAGUGGCUUACCAAGGCUUUGACGGGUAGCCGGCCUGAGAGGGUGACCGGCCACAUUGGGACUGAGAUACGGCCCAGACUCCUACGGGAGGCAGCAGUGGGGAAUAUUGCACAAUGGGCGGAAGCCUGAUGCAGCAACGCCGCGUGCGGGAUGACGGCCUUCGGGUUGUAAACCGCUUUCGCCUGUGACGAAGCGUGAGUGACGGUAAUGGGUAAAGAAGCACCGGCUAACUACG